RNAcentral lists this ribosomal RNA (488 nucleotides) under uncultured bacterium. RNAcentral's name for it is "bacterial SSU rRNA". It matches the Rfam family "Bacterial small subunit ribosomal RNA", at positions 30 to 507 of the family's 1533-position model. The record is from RNAcentral.
AUUGAACGCUGGCGGCAGGCCUAACACAUGCAAGUCGAGCGGUAGCACAGAGAGCUUGCUCUCGGGUGACGAGCGGCGGACGGGUGAGUAAUGUUUGGGAAACUGCCUGAUGGAGGGGGAUAACUACUGGAAACGGUAGCUAAUACCGCAUAACGUCGCAAGACCAAAGUGGGGGACCUUCGGGCCUCAUGCCAUCAGAUGUGCCCAGAUGGGAUUAGCUGGUAGGUGGGGUAACGGCUCACCUAGGCGACGAUCCCUAGCUGGUUUGAGAGGAUGACCAGCCACACUGGAAAUGAGACACGGUCCAGACUCCUACGGGAGGCAGCAGUGGGGAAUAUUGCACAAUGGGCGCAAGCCUGAUGCAGCCAUGCCGCGUGUGUGAAGAAGGCCUUCGGGUUGUAAAGCACUUUCAGCGGGGAGGAAGGCGGUGAGGUUAAUAACCUCACCGAUUGACGUUACCCGCAGAAGAAGCACCGGCUAACUCCGUG